GCGCAGGAAAAGAAACCAACAGGGAUUGCCUCAGUAACGGCGAGUGAAGCGGCAAAAGCUCAAAUUUGAAAUCUGCGUAAGCCGAGUUGUAAUUUGAAGAUGGCUACUUUGGUAAUGGCUCUUGUCUAUGUUCCUUGGAACAGGACGUCACAGAGGGUGAGAAUCCCGUGCGAUGAGAUGUCCAUUACCGUGUAAAGUGCUUUCGAAGAGUCGAGUUGUUUGGGAAUGCAGCUCUAAGUGGGUGGUAAAUUCCAUCUAAAGCUAAAUAUUGGCGAGAGACCGAUAGCGAACAAGUACAGUGAUGGAAAGAUGAAAAGAACUUUGAAAAGAGAGUGAAAAAGUACGUGAAAUUGUUGAAAGGGAAGGGCUUGAGAUCAGACUUGGUAUUUUGUAUGGCUUGCUUUCGGGCGGGUCCUCUGCAGUUUACUGGGCCAGCAUCGGUUUGGGUGGCAGGAUAAUAGCAUAGGAAUGUGGCUCUACUUCGGUGGAGUGUUAUAGCCUUUGUUGAUACUGCCUGCCUAGACCGAGGACUGCGUCUUUUGACUAGGAUGCUGGCAUAAUGAUCCUAAGCCGCCCGUCUUGAAACACGGACCAAGGAGUCUAACGUCUAUGCGAGUGUUUGGGUGUAAAACCCGUACGCGGAAUGAAAGUGAACGUAGAUGAGAGCCUUUUAGGCGCAUCAUCGACCGAUCCUGAUGUUCUCGGAUGG
RNAcentral lists this ribosomal RNA (709 nucleotides) under uncultured Candida. RNAcentral's name for it is "eukaryotic LSU rRNA". It matches the Rfam family "Eukaryotic large subunit ribosomal RNA", at positions 50 to 787 of the family's 3401-position model. The record is from RNAcentral. Lineage: Eukaryota; Fungi; Ascomycota; Saccharomycetes; Saccharomycetales.